This 445-nucleotide ribosomal RNA is filed under the name Shigella sonnei. RNAcentral describes it as "partial 23S ribosomal RNA". It matches the Rfam family "Bacterial large subunit ribosomal RNA", at positions 474 to 921 of the family's 2925-position model. Lineage: Bacteria; Pseudomonadati; Pseudomonadota; Gammaproteobacteria; Enterobacterales; Enterobacteriaceae. The record is from RNAcentral.
UCCUGACUGACCGAUAGUGAACCAGUACCGUGAGGGAAAGGCGAAAAGAACCCCGGCGAGGGGAGUGAAAAAGAACCUGAAACCGUGUACGUACAAGCAGUGGGAGCACGCUUAGGCGUGUGACUGCGUACCUUUUGUAUAAUGGGUCAGCGACUUAUAUUCUGUAGCAAGGUUAACCGAAUAGGGGAGCCGAAGGGAAACCGAGUCUUAACUGGGCGUUAAGUUGCAGGGUAUAGACCCGAAACCCGGUGAUCUAGCCAUGGGCAGGUUGAAGGUUGGGUAACACUAACUGGAGGACCGAACCGACUAAUGUUGAAAAAUUAGCGGAUGACUUGUGGCUGGGGGUGAAAGGCCAAUCAAACCGGGAGAUAGCUGGUUCUCCCCGAAAGCUAUUUAGGUAGCGCCUCGUGAAUUCAUCUCCGGGGGUAGAGCACUGUUUCGGCAA